Molecule: ribosomal RNA, 474 nt
Filed under: uncultured bacterium
Lineage: Bacteria
Description: bacterial SSU rRNA
Rfam family: Bacterial small subunit ribosomal RNA
Source: RNAcentral
GACGAACGCUGGCGGCGUGCCUCAAACAUGCAAGUCGAGCGAGGUGAGACCGAACCGCAAGGUGAGGUUGAACCUAGCGGCGAACGGGUGAGUAACACGUGGGUAACCUGCCUGAAAGAUCGGGAUAACGGCUCGAAAGAGUCGCUAAUACCGGAUAAUGUCCUGGUGCUGCAUGGCACCGGGAAGAAAGGGGAAACCCGCUUUCAGAUGGGCCCGCGCCCCAUCAGCUAGUUGGUAAGGUAACGGCUUACCAAGGCGACGACGGGUAGCCGGUCUGAGAGGACGAUCGGCCACACUGGGACUGAGAUACGGCCCAGACUCCUACGGGAGGCAGCAGUUGGGAAUCUUAGGCAAUGGGCGAAAGCCUGACCUAGCGACGCCGCGUGAGGGAAGAAGGCCUUCGGGUCGUAAAACCUCUAGUCAUGGGGACGAAGAAAGUGACGGUACCCAGGAGGAAGCCCUGCUAACUACGUG